This 843-nucleotide long non-coding RNA is filed under the name Homo sapiens (human). RNAcentral's name for it is "HSALNT0173166". The record is from RNAcentral. Lineage: Eukaryota; Metazoa; Chordata; Mammalia; Primates; Hominidae.
UUUCUCAACUACAGGUGAUUCCAGAGAACAAAUGAUCUUUCCUGAUGCAAGGCUUUCAGAAGCAUUGUUCUGCCUACCUUUUUCUUCUCUUUUUACCUAAUACAUUUUUAUUCAUUCUUCAAAGUUAAGCUGAAAUUUUACUUCAAAGAAUGAUUCCCUGGGUACGGCUACUAUACAUAUUUGUAUUUUGUGGAGAAUUUUUGCAUCUGUGUUCACCAGAUAAAUUACCAGCUAGAAUAACCAAGAAGUGAAGAGGAAAGACCCAAACAAACAAAAUCAGAAAUGAAAAAGGAGACAUUACAACUGACACCACAUAAAUACAAAAGAUAACCAGAGACUAUUUUGAACAACUAUAUGCUAACAAACUGGAAAGCCUAGAGCAAAUGAAAAAAUUCCUGGAAACAUACAGUGUACUAAUAUUUAAUCAGGAAAAGAUAGAAAAUUUGAACAGACCAAUAUCAAGUAGCAAGAUUGAAUCAGUAAUAAAAAGUCUCCCCCAUCAAAAACAAACAAACAAACAAAAAACCUAGAACUGGAUAAAUUUGCUGCCAAAUUCUGCAAAACAUAUGAAGAAGAACUAAUACCAAUCUUCCUCAAACUAUUUCAAAAAAUUAAAAAGCAAGAAAUCAUCUCUAACUCAAUCUAAGAGGCCAGUAUUAUUUUGAUACUGAAACCUACCAGGGUUAUCACAUUAAAAGAAAACUACAGUUUAAUAUUCCUGAUGAACCUAGACCCUAUUUGUCAGACCUCUGAGCCCAAGCUAAGCCAUCAUAUCCCGUGAUUUGCACGUACACAUCCAGAUGGUACACAUCCAGAUGGCCAGUUCCUGCCUUAACUGAUGAC